Molecule: ribosomal RNA, 719 nt
Filed under: uncultured Bacteroidales bacterium
Lineage: Bacteria; Pseudomonadati; Bacteroidota; Bacteroidia; Bacteroidales
Description: bacterial SSU rRNA
Rfam family: Bacterial small subunit ribosomal RNA
Source: RNAcentral
GCUUAACACAUGCAAGUCGAGGGGCAGCAUGGUCUUAGCUUGCUAAGGCCGAUGGCGACCGGCGCACGGGUGAGUAACACGUAUCCAACCUGCCGUCUACUCUUGGACAGCCUUCUGAAAGGAAGAUUAAUACAAGAUGGCAUCAUGAGUCCGCAUGUUCACAUGAUUAAAGGUAUUCCGGUAGACGAUGGGGAUGCGUUCCAUUAGAUAGUAGGCGGGGUAACGGCCCACCUAGUCUUCGAUGGGUAGGGGUUCUGAGAGGAAGGUCCCCCACAUUGGAACUGAGACACGGUCCAAACUCCUACGGGAGGCAGCAGUGAGGAAUAUUGGUCAAUGGGCGCAGGCCUGAACCAGCCAAGUAGCGUGAAGGAUGACUGCCCUAUGGGUUGUAAACUUCUUUUAUAAAGGAAUAAAGUCGGGUAUGUAUACCCGUUUGCAUGUACUUUAUGAAUAAGGAUCGGCUAACUCCGUGCCAGCAGCCGCGGUAAUACGGAGGAUCCGAGCGUUAUCCGGAUUUAUUGGGUUUAAAGGGAGCGUAGAUGGAUGUUUAAGUCAGUUGUGAAAGUUUGCGGCUCAACCGUAAAAUUGCAGUUGAUACUGGAUAUCUUGAGUGCAGUUGAGGCAGGCGGAAUUCGUGGUGUAGCGGUGAAAUGCUUAGAUAUCACGAAGAACUCCGAUUGCGAAGGCAGCCUGCUAAGCUGCAACUGACAUUGAGGCUC